UGCGUAGGCGGCCAACUAAGUCAGACGUGAAAUCCCUCGGCUUAACCGGGGAACUGCGUCUGAUACUGGAUGGCUGGAGUUUGGGAGAGGGAUGCGGAAUUCCAGGUGUAGCGGUGAAAUGCGUAGAUAUCUGAAGGAACACCGGUGGCGAAGGCGGCAUCCUGGACCAAUACUGACGCUGAGGAGCGAAAGGCCAGGGAGCAAACG
This 207-nucleotide ribosomal RNA is filed under the name uncultured bacterium. RNAcentral describes it as "partial 16S ribosomal RNA". It matches the Rfam family "Bacterial small subunit ribosomal RNA", at positions 568 to 774 of the family's 1533-position model. The record is from RNAcentral.